This 675-nucleotide ribosomal RNA is filed under the name uncultured bacterium. Its description in RNAcentral is "bacterial SSU rRNA". It matches the Rfam family "Bacterial small subunit ribosomal RNA", at positions 135 to 809 of the family's 1533-position model. The record is from RNAcentral.
ACUCCGGAAUAGCCUUUCGAAAGAAAGAUUAAUACCGGAUAGCAUACGAAUAUCGCAUGAUAUUUUUAUUAAAGAAUUUCGGUUAUCGAUGGGGAUGCGUUCCAUUAGUUUGUUGGCGGGGUAACGGCCCACCAAGACUACGAUGGAUAGGGGUUCUGAGAGGAAGGUCCCCCACAUUGGAACUGAGACACGGUCCAAACUCCUACGGGAGGCAGCAGUGAGGAAUAUUGGUCAAUGGGCGCGAGCCUGAACCAGCCAAGUAGCGUGAAGGAUGAAGGCUCUAUGGGUCGUAAACUUCUUUUAUAUGGGAAUAAAGUUUUCCACGUGUGGAAUUUUGUAUGUACCAUAUGAAUAAGGAUCGGCUAACUCCGUGCCAGCAGCCGCGGUAAUACGGAGGAUCCGAGCGUUAUCCGGAUUUAUUGGGUUUAAAGGGAGCGUAGGUGGAUUGUUAAGUCAGUUGUGAAAGUUUGCGGCUCAACCGUAAAAUUGCAGUUGAAACUGGGAGUCUUGAGUACAGUAGAGGUGGGCGGAAUUCGUGGUGUAGCGGUGAAAUGCUUAGAUAUCACGAAGAACUCCGAUUGCGAAGGCAGCUCACUAGACUGUCACUGACACCGAUGCUCGAAAGUGUGGGUAUCAAACAGGAUUAGAUACCCUGGUAGUCCACACAGUAAACGA